CGCCGUCUGCCAGCCAGCGCGAUGCCUGGGUGCUCACCCUCUCCGUAGGGUGUCCGUGGGCUUCUACCCUCUCGUCCCAGCUGGCCAUGGCCAGCCGCGGGGCUCGGCAGCGCCCCAAGGGAGGCGGAAGCAGCGGCGGCGACACGGCCUCGGCCGCGGACAAGCUGCGGGAGCUGCUGUGCGGCCGCGAGGCGGGCGGCGCGGAGCCGCGGGCCGAGUUAUCUGGGAACAAAGCAGGCCAAGUUUGGGCACCGGAAGGAUCUACUGCUUUCAAGUGCUUGCUCUCAGCAAGGUUAUGUGCUGCUCUUCUGAGCAACAUCUCUGACUGUGAUGAAACGUUCAACUACUGGGAACCAACACACUACCUCAUCUACGGGCAGGGAUUCCAGACUUGGGAAUAUUCCCCAGUUUAUGCCAUUCGCUCCUAUGCUUACCUGCUGCUUCAUGCCUGGCCAGCUGCAUUUCAUGCAAGAAUUCUACAAACUAAUAAGAUUCUUGUCUUUUACUUUUUACGAUGUCUUCUGGCUUUUGUGAGCUGUAUCUGUGAACUUUACUUUUACAAGGCCGUGUGUAAGAAGUUUGGGUUGCACGUGAGUCGAAUGAUGCUAGCCUUCUUGGUUCUCAGCACUGGCAUGUUCUGCUCAUCUUCAGCAUUUCUUCCUAGUAGUUUCUGUAUGUAUACUACAUUGAUAGCCAUGACUGGCUGGUAUAUGGACAAAACUUCCAUUGCUGUGCUUGGAGUAGCAGCUGGGGCAAUCAUUGGCUGGCCAUUCAGUGUGGCUCUUGGUUUACCUAUUGCCUUUGACUUGCUGGUCAUGAAACACAGGUGGAAGAGUUUCCUCCAUUGGUCGCUGGUGGCUUUAAUACUCUUUCUGGUGCCUGUGGUGGUCAUCGACAGCUACUAUUAUGGGAAGUUGGUGAUUGCACCACUCAACAUUGUUUUGUAUAAUGUCUUUACUCCACAUGGACCUGAUCUUUAUGGUACAGAACCGUGGCAUUUCUAUUUAAUUAAUGGAUUUCUGAAUUUUAAUGUAGUCUUUGCUUUGGCUCUCCUGGUCUUACCACUGACUUCUCUUAUGGAAUACCUACUGCAGAGAUUUCAUGUUCAGAAUUUAGGCCACCCAUAUUGGCUUACCUUGGCUCCAAUGUAUAUUUGGUUUAUAAUUUUCUUCACCCAGCCUCACAAAGAAGAGCGAUUUCUUUUCCCUGUAUAUCCACUUAUAUGUCUCUGUGGUGCUGUGGCCCUUUCUGCACUUCAGAAAUGCUACCACUUCGUGUUUCAGCGGUACCGCCUAGAGCAUUACACUGUGACCUCAAAUUGGCUGGCGUUAGGAACACUCUUCCUGUUUGGACUCUUAUCCUUUUCUCGCUCUGUGGCCCUGUUCAGAGGGUAUCAUGGGCCCCUUGAUUUGUAUCCAGAAUUUUACCGAAUUGCUACAGACCCAACCAUCCACACUGUCCCAGAAGGCCGACCUGUUAACGUCUGUGUAGGAAAAGAGUGGUAUCGGUUUCCUAGCAGCUUCCUUCUGCCCGAUAAUUGGCAACUUCAGUUCAUUCCAUCAGAGUUCAGGGGUCAGUUACCAAAACCUUUUGCGGAGGGACCACUGGCCACCCGGCUUGUUCCUACUGACAUGAACGACCAGAACCUAGAGGAGCCAUCCAGAUAUAUUGACAUCAGUAAAUGCCAUUAUUUAGUGGAUUUGGACACCAUGAGAGAAACACCCCGGGAGCCAAAAUAUUCAUCUAACAGGGAAGAAUGGAUCAGCCUGGCCUACAGACCGUUCCUUGAUGCUUCCAGAUCUUCAAAGCUGCUGCGGGCAUUUUAUGUCCCUUUCCUGUCAGAUCAGUAUACAGUGUAUGCAAACUACACAAUCCUCAAACCCCGGAAAGCAAAGCAAAUCAGGAAGAAAAGCGGAGGUUAGCAACACGUGUGCCUAUGGUCCCAGCGGACAGCCAUCCUGUUCUAGUGGUUCCACUGGCAGGACUCCUUCCCAGUCAUCACUUGUAACGUUGUAAUAAAGGCCACCUGACACAAAUCCUGGAAUCUGGGUGCUUUGGGCUGACCGGAGAAGAGCAGAAUCAACUCAUAGGAAGAAUUGAAAGUCUCUGAACUGGGUGGCUGUGUCAAGCUGUUCUCCACUCUCUGGCCUGGCACCUGAGAACUAGCUCGCCUCUCCUGGGCCGUAUGGGCCUCUCCACCAAAGCUGUGUGGCAGCUUCUCACAGACCUUCUUGUUCAAACCCUAAUGCUGAGAAUGAGCACAGCCCAGUCGCCAACCUACAUGCCCCUUCCCCUCCAGCAAGACUAAGUUUCUCUAAAGCGCUUCACAGGACGAGGCCUGUCCUGGAGGUACCUCAGGAAAAAGGCAACGACGUGAGGAACUGUGGCCAAACUUCAUUAUUUAGAAUGCCAUUUAUUCUCAUUUUAUUUCCUUUACAACAAACUGUAACUAUGUGGAUUGUUUUUUAAGUGUUAGCAUGCUAUUUCUUGAACUCAAGACUUCCCUGUGUAAAGUUAUUAAUAGAACAGUAUACAGUAUAUGCAAACUACACAAUCCUCAAACCCCGGAAAGCAAAGCAAAGCAAAUCAGGAAGAAAAGUGGAGAUUAGCAACACGUGCACAGGACAUAUUUGUAGAAAAUUAAUUCUAUCAAUUGGUAGAGUUGGAUAAUAUCACAUUUUUAAGUAAUGUAUUCUGUGGCCAUUUCUGAGGAAAUUAAGAAUUUCCCUUUUUUAAACAACCCUAGUGAAAAAGACCAGUGUAUAUUUAUAGCAACUAUUUUUGAGUCUGUACAUUGCCAAGCACAUCCUGCAUGGGGCGCUUCUCAUCAGAUAGGCAAUUAUAAUGACCUAAUAUUUUAAUAAGUGUGUACUCUCUUUCCCUUUACAUACAUUACCUUUACAUACAUGAUUUCAUAGUUUAUGAAGCAUUUUGCACUAUCUCAUUUGAUCCUCAGUCACAAUGUGAAGUAGAUAAGGCAAGUGUUUUUAUACCCAUUGUACAGAUGAAGAAACUGAGAUUACUGGGGAAGGUAAAGUGACUUGCCCAAGGUCACAUAGCCAGUAAGUAAUAGCACCAGGACCAGAACCUAUGUUGCCCAGCUUCUCAUCUAGUACUCUUCCAUAUUUCCUCACUUGACUAUGAAAAUAGUACUUGAAAGAAUGAUGAGGUUGUCCAGAGACGAGAUUGAUAAUCUGACUUUCUGUUUUAAUGAAGAAUUUUAUCGGUUUUUUCUUUGAGUUCUCCGGAGCCUCCACUGUCUGUUGGUUAGACUCUCAUCACAGCAGUGCUCCGUGGUCCAGCCUGGCCGGUGGCAGGAACACGGUGCUCGUGUUUGGAAGUCAUGCUCCUUGGUAGCCAGGCAGGAUCCCGUAGUAGUUCAUUUCUAUAGUCAAUCUGGCUCACAGCAUAGGUGCCUUAUUUCUCCAAGGAGAGUUGUGUCUAGUAUCUGCAAAUCGGUUGAAUCUAUUUUUCGGAGUUUCAUCUUUCAUUUUUCAAAGAGAAGGGCUUUCCAUAGGAACUGAUCCCAAGAGAGGAGAAAAGAAAUGAUAAGGGAAGGAAUGGCUAGUGGCCAUAUGAAGGUCUCCCCUCUGAAGGAAGAUUGGGACCCAGUGGAAGCACUGGAGAGGCAACAGGUCUGGGCAAUAGAGCGUAACUGGAAAGUGAAGAUAAACUGGGGUCCCACUUGCUGCUUUAACGACUUCUGCCAUUUAAUUCUCAAUCCUUGAUGACUUUUUCCAGAUACUGGCACAUUUGGUCUGACUACAGGAUAGAGAAUUUUCACUGAAAUAUCUUGCCAUACCUAUAUUAAUAGUGCAGUGAGUUGCUAAAGCCCUUUACUUUCUGCAGAGGUGAAUCGAGAGUUCCGAAAGGGAGGUCCGCGAUGAGUGGCUUGUUCUAAUUGCAGUGGCACAACGCUGAUCUAUUUAUCAUCUUGCGUGUGGGAAAUGAAAAGCCUUCUGAGCAGGAACUUACUAUAAUAUAGCACAAACAAAGAUCAUGAUUGAGCCAGGGAUUCCUGGGGAAUAUCAGUUCCUAUUCCUUUUAAAACCUGAUUUUGGUUUUCUCUGUUCUACGUAUAUCUUUAAUGAGAGCACAAUAAACUGCAGGACACUGUGCCAAAUGCUAUAGGUCAGGGUAGAAAAAAUGAAUGUUUUUUGUUAUGAAGGCAUUGUUCAUGUGAUAUUUAUAUAAACACAUUUAUAAAUCUCCAUCUCAGCAGUACAGGGGGGUUAGCUUGCUGGGGAAUAGUUUCAAACACCUGGUCAGAGUAACAUAUCUCUUCUAGAGAAUCAGGGUUCAGCGUGAGCUGUCCCUCUGCCCAUUAUAAGAGUGAAGUGUCUGAGGUACUUAUUUCUCCAUAGAUUGUGCAAUAUCAAGGAAUGAAGGACUAUAGAUUGUAAUAGCCUUUGAUUAUGGAGCUGAGUGCAGGAGUGGGUGACUCGGCAAUAUCAGGGUUCUGAUCUCUGAUCUCUGAUCUCUGAUCUCUGAAGCAGCCGGAUCUGAACGCCGGAUCUUACAACACUGAGUCCCAUUGCUGAACCAAACUGUGUAAUAGGCAUUUAUUGCCAAAGUUUACCUGUCACCGGGUAGUUGUCAUCUGAUAGGAAAGAAGACUGGUAAUUUUACUUAUUUUUUUAUUUUUUAUUAUUUGAGAGAGAGAGAUUGAUUUUUUUUGUUCCACUAAUUUAUUAUUCAUUGUAUGUGCACUGACCAAGGAUUGAACCCCCAACCUUGGCAUAUUGGGACGAUGCUCUAACCAACUGAACUACCCAGCCAGAGGAAGACUGGUCAUUUUAAUCUCUUGGGAUAAUCACAGAAAAUUGAAGCCCAUACUCUUUAUUAUUGAACUCAAGUUUAGAAACAUGGUUUUAAAUCAAGGUGGUUCUUGAUCCCAACCAUUUAUUUGGGUCGUUUGUUGUUGUUUGUUUGUUUGUUUGUUUUAGUUUGGAGUUCUGGGAAAGAACCUUGAAAACUCCAUGUGGUUCUGCAACAUUAGAUCUGGAGUGACCAUUUGGGCAAAGCACCAAUGGCAGUCCUUGAUCGUGUUUUGCAUUUCCUGGGGUUUAUUGAAAUAAGAACUCACUGUGAUUGUGCUGCCUUCUGGGCAGUGCCAGGCAGCUCUGCUUUUAAUUUGGUUAAUUUUAUUUUCUCUGGAGAAGGAAAAGAGGCACAAUUUCAUCUUUGCCUGCACAGGCACAUUAAAGCUCAUGUGUUAAUUCAUUCUUACGCUCCUCCAUUAAAUUACAUGCCUUGGUAAGUCGGUAAGUGGACAUGUGUUCAGCUUUAAUUUUUUUGCAAGAGAAAAAUCAGACUUCCGUAUGGCAUUGUUGUAUUUCAGAGGCUCUCUGGUGUUUCAAUAAAUCUAAGUGAAUGUUGCCUUCAAUUUUUCCAAUGCAUAUAACCAGGUGGUUCAUGCUGCAAAUGCUGUCAGGAAGCAGUCCAGUGCUGGAGCAAGAGUUUGUUCAAGUGAUUUGUCUUCCUGAUCCUUGUGCUUUAUUUCACGUGUCAGUGUUUACAUUGCAUACUUAUAUUUUCUGUGAAAGAAAAAAGUUAAAUAAAUCUUGGCAGUUUGAGUUUU
Molecule: RNA transcript, 5581 nt
Organism: Myotis myotis
Lineage: Eukaryota; Metazoa; Chordata; Mammalia; Chiroptera; Vespertilionidae
Gene: ALG9
Gene name: ALG9 alpha-1,2-mannosyltransferase
Exons: 16
Source: RefSeq, a predicted model, not a curated record